UACGUAGGGGGCGAGCGUUGUCCGGAUUUACUGGGCGUAAAGGGUGAGUAGGCGGUUAUUUAAGUCAGAUGUAAAAGGCUAUGGCUCAACUAUAGUAAGCAUUUGAAACUGGAUAACUUGAGUGCAGGAGAGGUAAGUGGAAUUCCUAGUGUAGCGGUGAAAUGCGUAGAUAUUAGGAGGAACACCAGUGGCGAAGGCGACUUACUGGACUGUAACUGACGCUGAGUCACGAAAGCGUGGGUAGCAAACAGGAUUAGAUA
RNAcentral lists this ribosomal RNA (260 nucleotides) under uncultured bacterium. Its description in RNAcentral is "partial 16S ribosomal RNA". It matches the Rfam family "Bacterial small subunit ribosomal RNA", at positions 524 to 784 of the family's 1533-position model. The record is from RNAcentral.